This 2104-nucleotide long non-coding RNA is filed under the name Sus scrofa (pig). RNAcentral describes it as "lncRNA (ENSSSCG00050035034.1)". Lineage: Eukaryota; Metazoa; Chordata; Mammalia; Artiodactyla; Suidae. The record is from RNAcentral.
AGAGGCCUUUAGGCAGCCUGUCUGCUGCUGGCUGGGGCUGGGUCCCCACCCACUUGGUUGUUUGGCCUGAGCUGUCUCAGUGCUGCACCUGCAGGCUAUUGGACUAAUGAGCUGGAGGGAGACUUUCUAGAUGGCUCCCACCAGCCCCAGGAUUGUCUGAGCAAGAGUCCACGCAGUUGAAGUAGCUCCCAGGGAUGGCUGCCGCCAGUGUCUGUGUCCCCAGGGCGAGCCAUAGCUCCCUCUCCAGGAGACUCUGCAAGACCAGCAGGUCUCAAGGAGUAAGAGAAGCCCAGCUGAGGCCUCUCUGUCUGGGGUAUUUCCGGUGUGCUGGCAUCGUGGAGAAUGCGAACCACGUUUAGUGUCAUCCCGAUACAACCAGUACUCAGCUCUCUUCCCAGAGGUCAGCUGAAGGGGACGUGACUGGGAGCCAGGUCGCCUCUAAGAAGCUUCCUUCGCAUUAGGGAGAAUGUCUCCCCAAGCAACCCAGAGAAGACUGCGGUUCCCACGCGCUGGGGGAGAGCCUCCGGAAGAUGUGGCUGUUGGUUGACCUGAGGGCUAGACCUUGGCUCCUACACGCGCCUCAUCCCUCCCCUGUCCUUGGAAUGUGGGUUCUGCCCCCUGUUUCCACUCUGCUAACAUAGGAUCAACUUAUAUGAGGGGCUGGUGCCAAAGACCAGCCCUGAGAAGCACCACGCUGUUGAGACCCUCUGGACGAUGUGCGGGACUAAACCCGAGAGUCUCCUUGGCAGCUUUCACGAUGGUGGCGCCUGUGGAGCCUCGUCUGUAAGUUCACGUGCUCGUGAAAGCUGUCACCUGCCCAUCUGGAGUGGUCCGCCUCUUUCUUUGGCCUCCCCGAGCCGUUAGGUACGAGUGCUAGUUGGUGAACCAACCCUGGCCGGUUUUGCAUCACCCAAGUCCAUUCGCUCUCAGGGAGAGAAGGCACGGCCAGGGGGUAUGGGAGACAACGGGGUGAAGGAACCCAUCACCAAGGUCUAGGGCGGGCUGAGGGGGCCCGCGAAGCAUGUAGAGAUGUUCAGAGCCCAGUAAAAGCACUGACGACAAGUGAAGCUAGUCACACCCUAGACAGGAGAUGGUGAAAAGGAGUGAGUGACCAGGGAUCAGCGAAGGCUGGAGCCGCAGCGCUGGGACAGAAGGUCGCCUGGCAGGAGUGCCACCUGUAUGGGACCAGGCACCGCCAGAACCAUCACACCAGGAUGGCCAGAACUAUCGUACCUCACCUCUCUCUCCCUCCUCUGCCUCCUCUGCUGCUGGUGCCUGAGACUGGCUGGACCCACCAGAGAGCAGAGGCCUAGGAGCCUGAAUGAUUGACAGAGAGAGAGAGAGAGAGAGUGUGUGUGUGUCCACAGCCCCCUGGGACACAGAGCAGAGCAGAGAAGGGUAAGAAGAGACUGCAGUGAGGUCGUAAAGUGAGCACCCACUGCGUACAUGGGUUCUUGUUCCAAUUAGCUGGGGCCGGAGUGCAGGAUAUAUUUUAUGUAAGACACUGUGUUAAAAAUCAUGGGACCUGAGGCAGAAGAAUCAGCCCAGGACUGUUCUCUGGUGGGGGGAUUGUGGAUAUGAGACAUUAGCCAAUAGAGAUAUAAUCAGAGUUAAUUUUUAUUUUAGGAGAACUCUGUGGUUCUAUAUUAGGAACAUUUACCUCUCAUUUCUCAGCAAAUAUGUUCAAAACUUUCAUUUUAUUUUUAAUUGGCUGUUUUUUUUUCCAGCAUGUAGAACAUUAUAAAUUACAUUGUUAAACUGUCAUGUUUACCUUCAUGAUUCUGACUUUAAUAUUAUAUUAGAGAAAUGUUAUCCUACUCUUAAGGAUUAUAAAUUUCACAUAGUAAUCUGGUAUUUUGUGGCUUUCCUAAAAAAAUUGUAUUGCAUUAUUUAUUGUAAUAGCUAUACAUACCCAUAACUUUAUUUGUGCCUACAUCUAUCAGUUUAUAAAUAUUUAUAUCAGAUAUAAAUUCACACACGUAUAUACAUGUAUUUCUUUUCCACUUACCUGCUUAUUAUCUCCCUGGGCCAGUAUACCACAUUAUUUUCAUUAUUACACUGUUAAUCGUUAUAUUUUAAAUCUAAUAAAAGAAACUUUCCUCAC